RNAcentral lists this long non-coding RNA (1943 nucleotides) under Nicotiana tabacum (common tobacco). Its description in RNAcentral is "long non-coding RNA (NTAB_LNC002887)". Lineage: Eukaryota; Viridiplantae; Streptophyta; Magnoliopsida; Solanales; Solanaceae. The record is from RNAcentral.
ACAGAGGGAGGAUUUCUGGAGAUAAAGUUCGUCGUUUGUGAGUUCGAGGUCCGAUCGUAUAGUUCAUGUUCGUGAUUUCGGUUAAAUUUUUAUGCUGAUUCUCGCUUGGAUUUUGUAAUCAAGGAUUUUGUAUCCACAGAUUCUUCUACUCUGAUUAAGGAAAAGUUUGGCUUCAACAGGUUCAUUACUUUAUCCCCUAUUUAUUUAAUUUCAAAAGUAAUUAAAAUAUGAGUUGAAUCAAUAGUGAGAGCUAGUGUUUAUUAAUUUGUUAGUUUACGUAAAUGUGGCUACUUGCUUCUUCGGGUGAAUUUGUUUAUCGUUCUGGGUGAGUUUAAUGCACGUUUGAAUCUGCAGUUUUAUGGCUUUUUUGUUAAAUCUGAGCGUUAGUAGUCGCGGUUCGCAGCUUUCGAGUAACGACUAAUUCGGUUGAAUUCUCUUUCGUUGCGUGUAUUCUGUUUCAUUUACGUAUUUGAAUGUCUCAUAGUUUCGAAACUGCUUGGUUUCAACAUGUUGGGUUGUAGUCCGAUUUGAUCUUGUGAUCUUCGAUUUGGUAUUCGAUCGCUUGAAUUCUCACGGAUUAAGGAUACAGGUCGAUUAUUUAAGAGUUGAUCGAAAAAAGAAAUAUUUAUCUACUUGCUUUAAUGAAGACCAUGUUGUGUUUUCUGCCAAGUUACAGUGCUCACGUGGCAAUUUGAUCCAGGAAAGGGUUUGUUAGCAUUCAUCAGUUGUUCCACUUUGUUUAAUAUGAUAUAUAUGAUAGUAGGGAAUAUUAAUUUGAGCUUUAUCCAUUUAAAUAUUUUCUUAUAAGAUAAGUUGCUCAUUCUUGUUUGUAGACCCAUUCUUUGUGUUGGUGUGUAGUGAAGUAUGCUUUCUGAAUACUGUCAAAGUUAGUUGCAUCAUUAAGUAUUUGUUUAAUCAUUUCACAAGUAUGAUGGUCUACUUUAUUUAUUUUAAUGUCUUGGGAUUCAUUUUGUUCCUUUAGAGUAGUUAACGUAUUUGGCAGAAGUUUUAUUUUCUUUGCUUUCUACUUUCAUCCAUAUUCACAUAUGAGAUUAUUUUAAUUGGCUCAAAUAAAUUUUGCAAAGUUUUCUUGUACUAACAGUAUUUAGGAAUGGCACGGUGAUAUAUUAAAGGUGCUUAGGUCUUAAACGGCUCAUAUAUGUUUUAGUACAUUCUGUUCCUUUCGUCCCUUAUGUGAAUUGAGAUGCCUUAGUUGUAUGUAUGUUUAUUACUAGUUGCUUGCAGCCAGUGCGCUGCACGGGCCCAACAUUAUAAAAACAAACUUCAAAACGUUUAAUGAAUAUGCGAUCAAUAUAUAAUCAAGCUUUAUUAAUACCAAGUAGGUAUGGAUACAUAUUUUGAGUUACAACAAUACAAAUCGUUAGAAAACAAUAGCAAAUUCUCACAGUCCCUGAACAAUGCCUAAAUAUUUUGAAGGAACUAAAAAAAAACUUUCUUAGUCGUAUACAUUUUUAAGUUAGUCCAAAAAGAUGAUAGGUGCAAACAUUUAUAUUCUAAUGUGUAUAUUGCAGAUGCGGCAUCUUCUAACCAUCAGUUGUUCCUUUCCUUCCAAAUUGUGCAGUCUCUAGAUUAUGGUUGUUCAACGGGACGGGACGAGACGAUAUUUAGCCGGGACGGUGGCGGGCCGUGACAAACGGGACGAAACGGUAGGCCCAUCCCGUCCCGCUAACAAACGGGAUGAGCCGGAACGGGACGGGACUGAACGGGACGGACGGUAGGCCCAUCCCAUCCCGCUAACAAACGGGAUGGGACGGAACGGGACAGGACGGAUUCGCGGGCCUUAAGUGUCAUUUUAAAAAAAAAAUAUUUAAGCAUUGAAUUUGGCAACCGCUAUUCUUUUGACAAUGACUAAGUUUUUAAAGUUUGCAACAACUAGUUUUUUGACUUAUUUAAUAAACUUAAAAAUUAAACAGAAAUUAAGA